Molecule: ribosomal RNA, 520 nt
Filed under: uncultured archaeon
Lineage: Archaea
Description: bacterial SSU rRNA
Rfam family: Archaeal small subunit ribosomal RNA
Source: RNAcentral
ACUGUGCAAUGCGCGAAAGCGCGACRCGGGRAGCUUGAGUGUCUUGGCAUAGCCAAGACUUUUCUCAUUCCUAAAAAGCAUGAGGAAUAAGUGCUGGGUAAGACGGGUGCCAGCCGCCGCGGUAACACCCGCAGCACGAGUAGUGGUCACUUUUAUUGAGCCUAAAGCGUUCGUAGCCGGUUUUGUAAAUCUUCAGAUAAAGCCUGAAGCUUAACUCCAGAAAGUCUGAAGAGACUGCAAGACUUGAGAUCGGGUGAGGUUAAACGUACUUUCAGGGUAGGGGUAAAAUCCUGUAAUCCCGGAAGGACGACCAGUGGCGAAAGCGUUUAACUAGAACGAAUCUGACGGUAAGGAACGAAGGCUAGGGUAGCAAACCGGAUUAGAUACCCGGGUAGUCCUAGCUGUAAACAUUGCCCAUUUGAUGUUGCUUUUCCGUUGAGGGAAGGCAGUGUCGGAGCGAAGGUGUUAAAUGGGCCGCUUGGGAAGUAUGGUCGCAAGACUGAAACUUAAAGGAAUUGGC